RNAcentral lists this ribosomal RNA (443 nucleotides) under uncultured bacterium. Its description in RNAcentral is "partial 16S ribosomal RNA". It matches the Rfam family "Bacterial small subunit ribosomal RNA", at positions 338 to 795 of the family's 1533-position model. The record is from RNAcentral.
CCUACGGGUGGCAGCAGUGGGGAAUAUUGGGCAAUGGGCGCAAGCCUGACCCAGCAACGCCGCGUGAAGGAAGAAGGCUUUCGGGUUGUAAACUUCUUUUCUCAGGGACGAAGCAAGUGACGGUACCUGAGGAAUAAGCCACGGCUAACUACGUGCCAGCAGCCGCGGUAAUCCGUAGGGGGCAGGCGUUAUCCGGAUUUACUGGGUGUAAAGGGGGUGUAGGCGGGACUGCAAGUCAGAUGUGAAAACCAUGGGCUCAACCUAUGGCCUGCAUUUGAAACUGUAGUUCUUGAGUACUGGAGAGGCAGACGGAAUUCCUAGUGUAGCGGUGAAAUGCGUAGAUAUUAGGAGGAACACCAGUGGCGAAGGCGGUCUGCUGGACAGCAACUGACGCUGAGGCGCGAAAGCGUGGGGAGCAAACAGGAUUAGAUACCCGAGUAGUC